Molecule: ribosomal RNA, 497 nt
Filed under: uncultured bacterium
Lineage: Bacteria
Description: partial 16S ribosomal RNA
Rfam family: Bacterial small subunit ribosomal RNA
Source: RNAcentral
GAUGAACGCUGGCGGCGUGCCUAAUACAUGCAAGUCGAGCGAACAGACGAGGAUCUUGCGCCGCUGACGUUAGCGGCGGACGUGUGAGUAACACGUGUAUAACCUACCUAUAAUACUGGGAUAACUUCGGGAAACCGGAGCUAAUACCGGAUAAUAUAUUGAACCGCAUGGUUCAAUAGUGAAAGACGGUUUUGCUGUCACUUAUAGAUGGAUCCGCGCCGCAUUAGCUAGUUGGUAAGGUAACGGCUUACCAAGGCAACGAUGCGUAGCCGACGUGAGAGGGUGAUCGGCCACACUGGAACUGAGACACGGUCCAGACUCCUACGGGAGGCCGCAGUAGGGAAUCUUCCGCAAUGGGCGAAAGUCUGACGGAGCAACGCCGCGUGAGUGAUGAAGGUCUUCGGAUCGUAAAACUGUGUUAUUAGGGAAGAACCACUGUGUACGUAACUAUGCCCGUCUUGACGGUAACUAAUAAGAAAGCACCGGCUAACUACGUG